GAUGAACGCUAGCUACAGGCUUAACACAUGCAAGUCGCGGGGCAGCAUUUCUUUAGCUUGCUAAGGAAGAUGGCGACCGGCGCACGGGUGAGUAACGCGUAUCCAACCUGCCCUUGUCCACGGGAUAACCCGGUGAAAACCGGCCUAAUACCGUAUGAGGUCACAAGCGGACAUCCAACUGUGACGAAAGGUUUAGCGGACAAGGAUGGGGAUGCGUCCGAUUAGCUUGACGGCGGGUAACGGCCCACCGUGGCUACGAUCGGUAGGGGUUCUGAGAGGAAGGUCCCCCACAUUGGAACUGAGACACGGUCCAAAACUCCUACGGGAGGCAGCAGUGAGGAAUAUUGGUCAAUGGACGGGAGUCUGAACCAGCCAAGUAGCGUGCAGGAUGACGGCCCUAUGGGUUGUAAACUGCUUUUGUGCGGGGAUAAAAGUGUGGGACGCGUCCCAUAUUGCAGGUACCGCAUGAAUAAGGACCGGCUAAA
RNAcentral lists this ribosomal RNA (485 nucleotides) under uncultured bacterium. RNAcentral's name for it is "bacterial SSU rRNA". It matches the Rfam family "Bacterial small subunit ribosomal RNA", at positions 28 to 501 of the family's 1533-position model. The record is from RNAcentral.